Zonotrichia albicollis (white-throated sparrow) is the source of this 909-nucleotide non-coding RNA. Lineage: Eukaryota; Metazoa; Chordata; Aves; Passeriformes; Passerellidae. The record is from RefSeq and is a predicted model, not a curated record.
CCUUGGCGGUGGCAGCCCCGGGCCUCCGCGCCGCAGCACCGCGGGCGCUACUGUGGGAUUUUGCUGCCGUCCUCGGCCUCUCCAUGGGCGGGCGGGAGCGGGGAGCGGGCCCUGUGUGCCCCGAGCGUCGCCCACCACGCCCGGGCCGAGGUGUGAUGGCACGGGCACCAUGGCCGUGCUCGCAUGGGGUUUCCCUUUGUCAUCACACCAGGUAGUGUAUAUCGUGGUAAUCCAGAAGCUGCUCUAGAGGCCCCAGGCUUCCCAGCCAAGCCUGGGGUCACUGGCAUGUAAAAGGAUCCUGGCUCCAAAGGUUCAGGGAAGUGGGCAGGACGUACAGAUUCCACAUGUCUGAGGUAAUCGAUGUAAUGGGGAUUUGCUCUCUUCAGAAGUUUCAGGGACUGGUUCAGCACCUCCUAUGAGCACUGCAAGCUCUUGUGACCCUCAGUUCCAGGAGUGUCUUCAUCACUGGUUUUAGGUUGAGUGUGCGCUGUGACUGUGCAUGAGCAAAUACACGUCACUCCUUCACAAGUUUGGCUGGACUAUAUCUGAUAAGCUUAAAAGUAAGCUUAUAUCAAAAUAAAAGUGUUGGGAAUUUAGCUGCUAGAAAAUGGAAAAGUACAAAACUAUGGCUAAUUCUAAGUCCUACACCUGCACAGAUAACAGUGUCCUUGGGCCUAGCUGUGGUAUAAUAACAAACAGUGAAAGAGACAUGAGAAAAGAGAGUGUAAUCCCUAAAGUAUGAAGAUGAGUUAAUGCUAUAGUUUAACCAAUAGAUUGUUUAGCUUACAGAAUAUUCAUAAGCUUAUUAUUUGCUGUAUAAGUGUUUGAUACUUUCUUCAAUAAACUAGACCAGAAAGACCUGAGGGACCGGGACCGGGACCAGACCGGACCUGAAGGGCCUGUGAUGAA